ACAGGAUUAGAUACCGUGGUAGUCCAUGCCGUAAACGUUGGGCAGUAGGUGUGGGGGACAUUCCACGUUUUCCGCGCCGUAGCUAACGCAUUAAGUGCCCCGCCUGGGGAGUACGGCCGCAAGGCUAAAACUCAAAGGAAUUGACGGGGGCCCGCACAAGCGGCGGAGCAUGCGGAUUAAUUCGAUGCAACGCGAAGAACCUUACCAAGGCUUGACAUGAACCGGUAAUACCUGGAGACAGGUGCCCCGCUUGCGGUCGGUUUACAGGUGGUGCAUGGUUGUCGUCAGCUCGUGUCGUGAGAUGUUGGGUUAAGUCCCGCAACGAGCGCAACCCUCGUUCUAUGUUGCCAGCACGUGAUGGUGGGGACUCAUAGGAGACUGCCGGGGUCAACUCGGAGGAAGGUGGGGACGACGUCAAAUCAUCAUGCCCCUUAUGUCUUGGGCUUCACGCAUGCUACAAUGGCCGGUACAAAGGGUUGCGAUACUGUGAGGUGGAGCUAAUCCCAAAAAGCCGGUCUCAGUUCGGAUUGGGGUCUGCAACUCGAC
Molecule: ribosomal RNA, 546 nt
Filed under: Pseudarthrobacter scleromae
Lineage: Bacteria; Bacillati; Actinomycetota; Actinomycetes; Micrococcales; Micrococcaceae
Description: bacterial SSU rRNA
Rfam family: Bacterial small subunit ribosomal RNA
Source: RNAcentral